This 253-nucleotide ribosomal RNA is filed under the name uncultured bacterium. RNAcentral describes it as "partial 16S ribosomal RNA". It matches the Rfam family "Bacterial small subunit ribosomal RNA", at positions 524 to 776 of the family's 1533-position model. The record is from RNAcentral.
UACGUAGGGGGCGAGCGUUGUCCGGAGUUACUGGGCGUAAAGGGCAUGCAGGCGGUCGGACGCGUUUUGUGUGACAGCGGGUGGCUCAACUACCCGAGCAUGCAAAAGACGGUCGGACUUGAGGACUCGAGAGGGACACGGAAUUCCGGGUGGAGUGGUGAAAUGCGUAGAGAUCCGGAGGAACACCGAAGGCGAAGGCAGUGUCCUGGCGAGUGACUGACGCUGAGGUGCGAAAGCCAGGGGAGCGAACGGG